This 496-nucleotide ribosomal RNA is filed under the name uncultured bacterium. RNAcentral describes it as "SSU rRNA". It matches the Rfam family "Bacterial small subunit ribosomal RNA", at positions 26 to 523 of the family's 1533-position model. The record is from RNAcentral.
AGGAUGAACGCUGGCGGUGUGCCUAAUACAUGCAAGUCGAACGGACUCUUAUUUGAAUCUAGUAUUUAACCUCGGUUAGAUACCAGAUCCUUUCGAGAGUUAGUGGCGGACGGGUGAGUAACACGUUGGUACCUGCCCCGAAGUGGGGAAUAACUGCCCGAAAGGGUAGCUAAUACCGCAUAUUGCCGAAAGGUGAAAGCAGUAAUGCGCUUCGGGAGGGGCCUGCGUCCCAUUAGCUUGUUGGUAGGGUAAUGGCCUACCAAGGCUGCGAUGGGUAGCUGGAUCGAGAGGUUGACCAGCCACACUGGGACUGAGAUACGGCCCAGACUCCUACGGGAGACAGCAGUAAGGAAUCUUCCACAAUGGACGAAAGUCUGAUGGAGCAACACCGCGUGCAGGAUGAAGGCUUUCGGGUCGUAAACUGCUUUUAUAUAGGAAGAUUAUGACGGUACUAUAUGAAUAAGGACCGGCUAACUACGCGCAGCAGCCGCGGUAA